AUGGAUGAUACCCUCUACCCACUAAGCUUAGGGAUCAACUUAGCCUGCCGCAAGAACAUCCAAGGUAAGUACAGUAGUACAGUAAUAAACUUACACCAAUCCUCUGUUUUCAUGCUACAGAAUUCGUGUGCUCAUACUACUUGUAUCUACCAAAUCGCAUACUACAUGCUGAACAAGCUUCAGGUCGAGGAGGGCCUGAUCCCCAAGAUGUGCUUGGAUUUGUACAAAGAAUAUGGAAUUAAGAUGGCUGCUUCUGUGUGUGUGUGUGUGUGUGUGUGUGUGUGUGGAUAUGUGUUAACUGGUGGCCGGUGGUGUGUGUGUGUGUGUGUGCAGGGUACUGCCGGAGAUAAGUAG
Molecule: ribosomal RNA, 354 nt
Filed under: Triticum aestivum (bread wheat)
Lineage: Eukaryota; Viridiplantae; Streptophyta; Magnoliopsida; Poales; Poaceae
Description: partial small subunit ribosomal RNA
Source: RNAcentral